Molecule: RNA transcript, 1471 nt
Organism: Temnothorax curvispinosus
Lineage: Eukaryota; Metazoa; Arthropoda; Insecta; Hymenoptera; Formicidae
Exons: 4
Source: RefSeq, a predicted model, not a curated record
CGAACGAAUGGCGCUCGUGAAAUCGUGUUUUCUUCCUUUUGAAGAUCUCCGACCGGGUGCACUUGCCACCCUCGAGGCCGACAGGGAAAACUCGACGAUGCGAGGACACGGAUCGAACGAAACGAUGCACCAUUUACGCUUCGAUCGGCGAGUGUUUUGCGCCGUUCGAGAAAAAAGGAGGUGGAAGAACCUGUCAUGCCACUCGAGCCCGGAAAGGAAAAAGAAAAGCAUGCAGCCGAUGUCGUUACCGAACGGAAAUGAGGAACGAUUCGAGAAUGAUCUGGCCAACGCGCCGCAGAAUAUGAUAAGGCCACCGAUCUGCACUGCCCACCUACAGCUCUCGUAUAAUGAUAUCGAUAACGACGUCGUGUAUGCGACUAAAAAGCGCGCCAGCCACGAGAACACGUCUACCACGGACGGGACGGAGAGGCAGCUGCUGAUUACACUCAUCGAGCGAUAGAUCGGUUCUCUCGGGAAGUUAUAUGGCAAAUGGAAGUGAACCACGGCAUGGAGCUAUUCCCGGGCCACCUACCGCUCAGCGUAAUAAUAUUGACAGCGAUCGGCAGCAGUAAAAGAAGGCGCGAUGGCUGACGAUUGCAUUCGCCAUCCACUACGAUUUUCUCCCACUACAACCGCUCUCUGUCCUCCUACUCUGAUGGCAGUUGGGCCACCUCUUCCUGAAAAGUAUACCAUCACCGACCAUUGGGUGCAACUGAAAUCAAGGCUACCGAUUGGACGGCCUCUAACGCUCGCCUAGGAAUGCCGCGUGCAACGAAUGCAACGCGCGACACACGUGUGGAGAUGCAGAUUAACGUAAUCUCCGUGAGCCAUAUGUUAUCGGGCCGAGAUCGGCGACGCCUUCGGAUUGCUCCGCGCGAAGGAUUUAUGUUAAUUCUAAAUAACCUUCGCUGAAAUUAACCGUUUUGCGUAACGCUUAAAGCUCCUUCCCCGGAUCGAGAGGGAGCCUUCAAUGUCAUCCAAUCAAUUUUUUGCCCAGAUCUUAGAAAUAAUCACGAUAUAUCUAUAUUAAUAUCCAUGUCUAUCUCUAUCUGAUAAGGUAAUGAUAAAUAUCACGAAGCAAUCAAACGUGUUCAUACUCGAAGUGUUCAUACAUAUUCAUUAAAGAAAAUUCAAAAGAAAAUUUUUAGAAAUAUUAUUACUUCGCAGUAUCUCUCGAAACUCCGUCAAUUAAUACGUCUCUAUAUUUUUGGUAUUUAAAAAUCGUGCAAAGCAAAAUGUAUUUGUAAAAUACAAAUUUAGUUUGUAUAAGAAAAAUCCUUAAAACCUCCAAAAGCGUUAAAAAAUAUUGCGUAUUUAAAUACUUAAUGUACUCCAUCUCAAUGUUAAUUUAAAACAAAUGUGUUGGCAUCGUAGAAGAUUUCUAUCGUAUAGCUAAAUCGAAGUAAUCUAUGUAACUAAACUGUAUUAAAUACAAAAACGAAGUUUUAACGUGCAGUGGAUAUAUUAUCUA